UUUGACCUCAAAUCAGGUAGGACUACCCGCUGAACUUAAGCAUAUCAAUAAGCGGAGGAAAAGAAACCAACAGGGAUUGCCUUAGUAGCGGCGAGUGAAGCGGCAAAAGCUCAAAUUUGAAAUCUGGCUCUUUCAGAGUCCGAGUUGUAAUUUGAAGAAGGUAUCUUUGGGUCUGGCUCUUGUCUAUGUUUCUUGAAACAGAACGUCACAGAGGGUGAGAAUCCCGUGCGAUGAGAUGAUCCAGGCCUAUGUAAAGUUCCUUCGAGAGUC
Molecule: ribosomal RNA, 270 nt
Filed under: Candida tropicalis
Lineage: Eukaryota; Fungi; Ascomycota; Pichiomycetes; Serinales; Debaryomycetaceae
Description: partial 28S ribosomal RNA
Rfam family: Eukaryotic large subunit ribosomal RNA
Source: RNAcentral